Zingiber officinale is the source of this 518-nucleotide long non-coding RNA. RefSeq lists it as uncharacterized. NCBI's taxonomy places the organism in Eukaryota, Viridiplantae, Streptophyta, Magnoliopsida, Zingiberales, Zingiberaceae. The transcript has 2 exons. The record is from RefSeq and is a predicted model, not a curated record.
GGCCACCGACGGGCUCGGAGUCGCACUUAUCGCCUUCUCAAUCAGCGCCGGCCUCUAUACCUGCUGCCAUAUAUCUAGAUAUAAAGUCUAUUUUGAGCAAGGAAAAAAAGAUACAGUUUUGUUCUUUGAAAAACAUUUGAUACCUUGCUUUGUCCCCAUGGAUCCCUAAGGAAGAGGGGCUCUUCCAGCAACAGGAGUGCCACCAAGAGUCGACAUCAUCAAUGUCUCCAUUAGAAGCCGGAGAGUAUGAUCCAAGCAAACCGAGCCGCUAAAGAGACAGAGAGCUUAAGUGGAGAAGGGGAGCAGCAAAGUGUUGAGCGAGACGAAGAGGAGGUGAGGCAUGAUAAACAAAGAAAAAUGGCCAGAGAGCUCAAGUGGAGAAGGGGAGGAGCGAAGUGCGGAGCGAGACGAAGAGGAGGUGAGGCCGAAGAACAAUGGAAUUUUAGUCCCACAUCGCUAAAUAUAACUCUCCAAGUGUGACGGAGAACUUUAAAAGAAGGAAGGAUCCUAUCAUAUAA